This 117-nucleotide non-coding RNA is filed under the name Nomascus leucogenys (northern white-cheeked gibbon). The record is from Rfam by way of RNAcentral. Lineage: Eukaryota; Metazoa; Chordata; Mammalia; Primates; Hylobatidae.
GCUGGGUGUGGUGGCUCACACCUGUAAUCCCAGCAUUUUGGGAGGCUGAGACGGGUGGAUCACCUGAGGUCAGGAGUUUGAGACCAGCCUGGCCAAUAUGAUGAAAACCUGUCUCUA